GGCCUGACCCGACCUUUUGCCGGUCCGUGCUACGACGGCUUCUCGUUCGUUUGUUUUCCUUUUGGACCGGAAAGAGGAGCACGAUUUGUACCAUGUUUUCGUGCCAUAAGUCUAAUUGUUGUUGGAAUUUACCUCAGCAGGUGGUAGUCUUGCUUUCUUC
This is a long non-coding RNA of Syzygium oleosum, 160 nucleotides long. RefSeq lists it as uncharacterized. Lineage: Eukaryota; Viridiplantae; Streptophyta; Magnoliopsida; Myrtales; Myrtaceae. The transcript has 2 exons. The record is from RefSeq and is a predicted model, not a curated record.